Molecule: long non-coding RNA, 1991 nt
Organism: Spinacia oleracea (spinach)
Lineage: Eukaryota; Viridiplantae; Streptophyta; Magnoliopsida; Caryophyllales; Amaranthaceae
Exons: 4
Source: RefSeq, a predicted model, not a curated record
GCAUAUAUUUUGAGUGGUCUAUUCAUUAUUUCUCCUCUUGAACUUCUUUGAUUAUGAUAAAGUAUUUUCAGUAUAGUAUUGUCCACUGUUUUGUCUUGUAAAUUUUGGGCACUCAUUUUUCACGAUUUGAUUUGCUUUGUUGCCUUUGAAAGUCCCGUUCUAUUGGAUUGUUCUGCAGAUAUAGGUUAUGUAGUUAUAUUUUUUUUGUUCUUAAUCAAGGUUGUAGCACCGGUUACAUUCAAAGUUUUACUUUUAAAUUUAUGUUUACAUUUACACUAAAUUAUACUUUUUUUUUUAAUUUUUUUUUAUUGUGGUAGUGGUUAUAUUUAAAACAUUGUUCUUUUAAUUUUAAAAAUGUGUAUUUGUCAAAAAAAUUCAUGUUCUUCAGUUAAUUUUUCUCUAUUUAUUUCAAGUAGCGGUUAUAUUCAAAGAUUUAUUCUUUUUAUUUUAAAAACGGAUACAUUCAAAUAUUACUUCUAUAGUCAUAUUUUCUCUUUUUAUUUCAAAUAAUGGUGGUAUUUAAAUAUUUUACUAACUCCCAGUCUGCAAACUUUUCAACCAAUUGCAUUUUCAAAUAGUUUUUUUGAUUCUUACUUCUUUUUAACCAAGUUGAGGAUAAAUGGGCUUCAGUUUUUUUCAUUUAAGUGAUGAUUUUCCUUCCUAUAAUUGCGUUCCACAUGAAUGUGGACAGCCUUUGUAUAACUGGUAUCCAUAGUUGCUCUGAUUUUCUGCAAAAGAUACGAACACUCAAAAGUUUAGAUAAUUUGGAAACCAAUGAUACUCUUUAGGAGGGCGAUUUUGUGAGUGGCAGAAGAUAGAACAUUGACAAUUUCUGCCAUUUGUGUGAAUGAUCUGAACACUGGAAGAUUAUAUGAAUGAUCUCAUUAUAUCUUGAAACCGGUAUUGAAAUUUUUUUUGUGGGUGGCAGAUUGUUCAGAAUCACUUUAAUGCAAACGUCACUGGGCUUGUUGAUUAAUUAUUCUUCGCUCUUAUUUUGUAUUUUGAUUAAGAUCUUUCUUCCUUUUCCUCUUGUAAUUUUCUUUUCCUUUUAAAGUCACAGUUUUUUUUUGGGUCAAAAGUCACAGUUGUUUGUUUAGAGUAUAACGGGGUAUUUGUUUAUGGUUGUCUAUGUAAUGUUGUCCUUACUUUUCUUAUUUGAAAUCUCCUAUGGUUCACUCUGGACUUUUCAUCAGGUCUUUCAUAAAAUGGUGAAUGCUAGAGUAGAACCAAAUCAUCAUACAUAUGAAGCUCUUAUUGAUGGUUCUGCAAGAGCUGGUCAGGUAGCUAAACUUUUGGUGUUUAUGGGAUUUUGAGGUCUAAGUAGAAUGUGAAGCCAGAUCGAGUUGUGUUCAAUGCACUUAUCACCGCUUGUGGCCAGUCUGGAGCAGUAGAACGCGCUUUUGACGUGUUGGCAGAAAUCAUAUCUGAACUACAGCCUAUCGACCAUGAUCACUUUACUAUUGGCUUCUGGGUAAUCACGUGAACCAAAUGGUUGAUGAGAUAUUCGUUCAUUGCUUAUGAUUGAGGUUUGGAGAAGCUUUGAUGUUUUAGGGAGGGUGUCUUCUGCUCAAUAUUGGGAUCACGUGUUUCAGUCAAGAGCAAACACCUCUAUGAAUGAUCAAAAGACCUUCAAAAAGAUCCAUUUGGAAAAACACCAACUUCUUGGUGGAGAUUGACACAACGACAAAACUUUAAAAGAGCGGUGUCUUGCAAUGGAGCCUUACGUCAGUUUCUCAAAAAAUAAUGUCCUGGAAGAGAACAAAGAGGAUGACAACGUGACAAUGCUACAAUGUAGUUUGGGUGUUGAGUACACCUUGUCGUUUGUGAGCCAUUUGCUAAGCUAGGUGAUGUACUUGUAAAGUAUCUUAUAUUUACACUUUAGUUCUAGAUGGCCCUUGGAUUUCUUGCCAACAGAGGAGUUCAAUUUGUUGUCGUUAGAAGAUAGGAUAAAAGGCUUAUUUACAGCAAAAACCUAUUAAAUAUUUUGUAAA